Long non-coding RNA from Schistocerca americana (American grasshopper), 523 nucleotides. RefSeq lists it as uncharacterized. The record is from RefSeq and is a predicted model, not a curated record. The transcript has 4 exons. NCBI's taxonomy places the organism in Eukaryota, Metazoa, Arthropoda, Insecta, Orthoptera, Acrididae.
GGAGGAGGAAGAAGAAGAGUCGGCGGCCCAGUCGACGCCGCGUUCCCCUCGGCUAUCGCUGAAGCUCUGAUAACGGGACCGGAGCGUUCGCGUGAUGUGCACCUGUGGCAGGAAUGUGGCGCGGCGCCGGUGCGGUGCGAUGUGAGUGCUUCUGCGACGCGACGACGACGGCGGAGAUGGCGACGGCGGCGCGCGUGGCGUGAUAGCGCGAGCCUGCAGGGCGCCGGGGCGCCUGCGCAGAGCCGGCCUCACGGGAGUGCGAGCGGUAGACGGCAUGCUGCCAGCCGCGCGUGCCCACACGUUGCACAGUUCGCACUGAGUCCGUGCACCGUGAAGCAUGCUAUACGAGACGAAAGCCAUAAACUCUGUGGGAACGUGCUACUCAACAGUGCCAGCUGUCUCUCAACACGGACCUGCGUCACUCAGGAACAUGUCUUCGAAGCGCAAGUCGCCGCCCACGAAGCUGCAGGAGGGCGGCUGCGGCGACGACGAGCCGUGCCCGCCCCUAGGCGCCUCCCACGCG